RNAcentral lists this ribosomal RNA (1241 nucleotides) under metagenome. RNAcentral's name for it is "bacterial LSU rRNA". It matches the Rfam family "Bacterial large subunit ribosomal RNA", at positions 1564 to 2815 of the family's 2925-position model. The record is from RNAcentral.
UGAUGACGAGACGCUAAGGCGUUGAAGCAGUGUAUGUCAGACUUCCAAGAAAAGCUCGCAAUGUCACAAAUAAAAGAUGCCUGUACCAUAACCGACACAGGUGGGUAGGUAGAGUAUACUAAGGGGCGCAAGAUAACUCUCUCUAAGGAACUCGGCAAAAUGACUCCGUAACUUCGGGAGAAGGAGUGCCUUAUUUAUAAGGUUGCAAUAACAAGAUCCAAGCAACUGUUUAUCAAAAACACAGGUCUCCGCUAAGUCGUAAGACGAUGUAUGGGGGCUGACGCCUGCCCAGUGCCAGAAGGUUAAAGAAGUUGGUUAGUGUAUGCGAAGCUGAUGACUGAAGCCCUGGUGAACGGCGGCCGUAACAAUAACGGUCCUAAGGUAGCGAAAUUCCUUGUCGGGUAAGUUCCGACCCGCACGAAAGGCGUAAUGAUUUGGAUACUGUCUCGGAGAGAGGCUCGGUGAAAUAGACUUGUCUGUGAAGAUGCGGACUACCUGCACCAGGACAGAAAGACCCUAUGAAGCUUUACUGUAACUUGAAAUUGGAAUUGGACUUUGCUUGCGCAGUAUAGGUGGGAAGCGUUGAAAAUAUUCUUGCGGGAGUAUUGGAGCUAUCAGUGAGAUACCACUCUUGUAAUGUUAGAUUUCUAACUUUGAACCAUAAUCUGGUCAAAGAACAGUUUCAGGUGGGCAGUUUGACUGGGGCGGUCGCCUCCCAAAUGGUAACGGAGGCGUACAAAGGUUUCCUCUGAACGGAUAGAAAUCGUAUCUAGAGUGUAAAGGCAUAAGGAAGCUUGACUGUGAGACCUACAAGUCGAGCAGGGACGAAAGUCGGUCUUAGUGAUCUGACGGUACUGAGUGGAAAGGCCGUCACUCAACGGAUAAAAGUUACUCUAGGAUAACAGGCUGAUCUCCCCCAAGAGUUCACAUCGACGGGGAGGUUUGGCACCUCGAUGUCGGCUCAUCGCAUCCUGGGGCGGUAGUACGUCCCAAGGGUUGGGCUGUUCGCCCAUGAAAGCGGUACGCGAGCUGGGUUCAGAACGUCGUGAGACAGUUCGGUCCAUAUCCGGUGUAGGCGCUAGAAUAUUGAGAGGAGCCUUCUUUAGUACGAGAGGACCGAGAAGGACACACCGCUGGUGUACCAGUUAUCGUGCCAACGGUAAACGCUGGGUAGCUAUGUGUGGAGUGGAUAACCGCUGAAAGCAUCUAAGUGGGAAGCCCACCUCGAGAUGAGUAUUCCC